GACGAACGCUGGCGGCGUGCUUAACACAUGCAAGUCGAACGGAAAGGCCCUGCUUUUGUGGGGUGCUCGAGUGGCGAACGGGUGAGUAACACGUGAGUAACCUGCCCUUGACUUUGGGAUAACUUCAGGAAACUGGGGCUAAUACCGGAUAGGAGCUCCUGCUGCACGGUGGGGGUUGGAAAGUUUCGGCGGUUGGGGAUGGACUCGCGGCUUAUCAGCUUGUUGGUGGGGUAGUGGCUUACCAAGGCUUUGACGGGUAGCCGGCCUGAGAGGGUGACCGGCCACAUUGGGACUGAGAUACGGCCCAGACUCCUACGGGAGGCAGCAGUGGGGAAUAUUGCACAAUGGGCGGAAGCCUGAUGCAGCAACGCCGCGUGCGGGAUGACGGCCUUCGGGUUGCAAACCGCUUUCGCCUGUGACGAAGCGUGAGUGACGGCAAUGGGUAAAGAAGCACCGGCUAACUACGUG
RNAcentral lists this ribosomal RNA (468 nucleotides) under uncultured bacterium. Its description in RNAcentral is "partial 16S ribosomal RNA". It matches the Rfam family "Bacterial small subunit ribosomal RNA", at positions 28 to 507 of the family's 1533-position model. The record is from RNAcentral.